Molecule: ribosomal RNA, 373 nt
Filed under: uncultured organism
Description: partial 16S ribosomal RNA
Rfam family: Bacterial small subunit ribosomal RNA
Source: RNAcentral
GUAGGUGGCAAGCGUUGUCCGGAAUUAUUGGGCGUAAAGCGCGCGCAGGUGGUUCUUUAAGUCUGAUGUGAAAGCCCCCGGGCUCAACCGGGGAGGGUCAUUGGAAACUGGGGAACUUGAGUGCAGGAGAGGAAAGUGGAAUUCCACGUGUAGCGGUGAAAUGCGUAGAUAUGUGGAGGAACACCAGUGGCGAAGGCGACUUACUGGCCUGUAACUGACACUGAGGCGCGAAAGCGUGGGGAGCAAACAGGAUUAGAUACCCUGGUAGUCCACGCCGUAAACGAUGAGUGCUAAGUGUUGGGGGGUUUCCGCCCCUCAGUGCUGCAGCUAACGCAUUAAGCACUCCGCCUGGGGAGUACGGUCGCAAAGACUG